RNAcentral lists this ribosomal RNA (726 nucleotides) under Bacillus sp. (in: firmicutes). RNAcentral's name for it is "bacterial SSU rRNA". It matches the Rfam family "Bacterial small subunit ribosomal RNA", at positions 56 to 765 of the family's 1533-position model. The record is from RNAcentral. Lineage: Bacteria; Bacillati; Bacillota; Bacilli; Caryophanales; Bacillaceae.
UGCAAGUCGAGCGGACAGAAGGGAGCUUGCUCCCGGAUGUUAGCGGCGGACGGGUGAGUAACACGUGGGUAACCUGCCUGUAAGACUGGGAUAACUCCGGGAAACCGGAGCUAAUACCGGAUAGUUCCUUGAACCGCAUGGUUCAAGGAUGAAAGACGGUUUCGGCUGUCACUUACAGAUGGACCCGCGGCGCAUUAGCUAGUUGGUGAGGUAACGGCUCACCAAGGCGACGAUGCGUAGCCGACCUGAGAGGGUGAUCGGCCACACUGGGACUGAGACACGGCCCAGACUCCUACGGGAGGCAGCAGUAGGGAAUCUUCCGCAAUGGACGAAAGUCUGACGGAGCAACGCCGCGUGAGUGAUGAAGGUUUUCGGAUCGUAAAGCUCUGUUGUUAGGGAAGAACAAGUGCAAGAGUAACUGCUUGCACCUUGACGGUACCUAACCAGAAAGCCACGGCUAACUACGUGCCAGCAGCCGCGGUAAUACGUAGGUGGCAAGCGUUGUCCGGAAUUAUUGGGCGUAAAGGGCUCGCAGGCGGUUUCUUAAGUCUGAUGUGAAAGCCCCCGGCUCAACCGGGGAGGGUCAUUGGAAACUGGGAAACUUGAGUGCAGAAGAGGAGAGUGGAAUUCCACGUGUAGCGGUGAAAUGCGUAGAGAUGUGGAGGAACACCAGUGGCGAAGGCGACUCUCUGGUCUGUAACUGACGCUGAGGAGCGAAAGCGUGGG